AGAGUUUGAUCAUGGCUCAGGAUGAACGCUAGCUACAGGCUUAACACAUGCAAGUCGAGGGGCAUCAGUUUGGUUUGCUUGCAAACCAAAGCUGGCGACCGGCGCACGGGUGAGUAACACGUAUCCAACCUGCCUCAUACUCGGGGAUAGCCUUUCGAAAGAAAGAUUAAUAUCCGAUAGCAUAUAUUUCCCGCAUGGGUUUUAUAUUAAAGAAUUCGGUAUGGGAUGGGGAUGCGUUCCAUUAGUUUGUUGGCGGGGUAACGGCCCACCAAGACUACGAUGGAUAGGGGGUUCUGGAGAGGAAGGUCCCCCACAUUGGAACUGAGACACGGUCCAAACUCCUACGGGAGGCA
RNAcentral lists this ribosomal RNA (353 nucleotides) under uncultured bacterium. Its description in RNAcentral is "bacterial SSU rRNA". It matches the Rfam family "Bacterial small subunit ribosomal RNA", at positions 8 to 350 of the family's 1533-position model. The record is from RNAcentral.